UUUACCCUUCCUUUGGCUUUUAUAUAUAAGAAUGAUUUUUCAAUUACAUUUCUACCUUUACAGCAGGACUAUCACCCAAAGAUUGAAAUAAUUUCUGAAGUGACAAAUGACAGCAAUUCUGCAUUAGAGGAAAACAAUACAAGCAUGACUGAGAAUUCAGUAGAAGAAGUUCCAACAGCAAUUUUUUCAAAUGUAUGUCAGAACCAUAAAGAGCAUGAAAAGGAGCACUUAAGACCCCUUCUCAAAAGCUUAUUUACAGAGCCUGAGAAUUCAGAAGGAUACAUGGAGAUCAAAGAUAAAGAGGUAGCCCCUUUGAAACCCUUGAUAGAAGAGGUAAUCACUGAGCCCAAGGAUCAUCUGCUGCUGUCACCAGUCUGUCACCAACCAGAUGACCCCAGCUCAUGGGAAGGGGAUGAGAAUGGCAGUGAUAGAGAAGCACAGGGCCUGGCUGAGGGGGAAGGAUGUUCUCAUAAAGCACAAGGUGACAAGGAUGAUGAGAGUGGAUUGGAUUAAUCACUUGGAAAAACCAGACCAAAUCUGGAGCACAGUGUGGAAAUAUUCCCAAAGUAUGGAGGCUGGCAAUGGGACCAUUUGUUAAAACUGAUGUAACACUGUCAUACCAAAACUCCCGGCCCUUGGCUCCAGCUCCUCAGGGCAGCUGCCUGGUCACUACUUUGAAAAUUACUGUUUUGAGGUUAUAUUCCAGUCUUGUGUUAUUUUUGCCUUUGCAUCCUUCUAGAAAUGCCUUAGUUACAUGUUUAUAUGUCAGAGUUUCAUUACAGAUGUAGUUUCAAGCAUAAUUCAGUGUGUCAUUUGACUAAAUAAAAAUUCUAUUUGUAACCACAUGUAUUUUCACUUGGUGUUUUAUAUUUUAAGUCCAUACCAGUGUGCAUCAUAUCAGAUGGACUCUAAUGGCAAAUGAGAUUGCUUCUUGAUGGAAUAUUUUACUGAUCUAAUAUUUCUUAUGAUUGUUUAUGCCUAAAAAGACGCAGAAAUAGCAUCCAUGCACAGAAAAUCUGGUUUUACCUUUUAGGGCAUCUGUAAUGAAACAUACACUUAUAUCUGCUCCUUUUAUUGUUUUUCACUGAGAUGUGUCUCAGGAUCUGUGUUUUGAGUAUAUAGAAGUUUAGGUGAAUGUCUUUUUUCGUAUUUCUAUACAUCUGUGAUAAUUUGUAAUAAAUAAAAUUUAACAGUUCUUCUAGGUGUGCACAUUUAAAGAAAUAAAGUAUCACUGUGG
Molecule: long non-coding RNA, 1237 nt
Filed under: Camarhynchus parvulus
Lineage: Eukaryota; Metazoa; Chordata; Aves; Passeriformes; Thraupidae
Description: lncRNA (ENSCPVG00000016895.1)
Source: RNAcentral